Mycena polygramma is the source of this 95-nucleotide non-coding RNA. NCBI's taxonomy places the organism in Eukaryota, Fungi, Basidiomycota, Agaricomycetes, Agaricales, Mycenaceae. The record is from the annotation of a GenBank genome assembly.
GGCCUGGUUGCGGAUGGUCCGCGCUUGCAUGCAAUCGAUGGUUCUGAACUUGAUGCAUUUCGCAAGAUACGCUCGUUCGAUUCGAGCCCGGGCUA